GUGGGGAAUAUUGGACAAUGGGGGGAACCCUGAUCCAGCCAUGCCGCGUGUGUGAAGAAGGCCUUUUGGUUGUGAAGCACUUUAAGCGAGGAGGAGGCUACCGAAAUUAAUACUCUUGGAUAGUGGACGUUACUCGCAGAAUAAGCACCGGCUAACUCUGUGCCAGCAGCCGCGGUAAUACAGAGGGUGCAAGCGUUAAUCGGAUUUACUGGUCGUAAAGCGCGCGUAGGUGGCCAAUUAAGUCAAAUGUGAAAUCCCCGAGCUUAACUUGGGAAUUGCAUUCGAUACUGGUUGGCUAGAGUAUGGGAGAGGAUGGUAGAAUUCCAGGUGUAGCGGUGAAAUGCGUAGAGAUCUGGAGGAAUACCGAUGGCGAAGGCAGCCAUCUGGCCUAAUACUGACACUGAGGUGCGAAAGCAUGGGGAGCAAACAGGAUUAGAUACCCGAGUAGUCC
RNAcentral lists this ribosomal RNA (451 nucleotides) under uncultured bacterium. RNAcentral describes it as "partial 16S ribosomal RNA". It matches the Rfam family "Bacterial small subunit ribosomal RNA", at positions 354 to 796 of the family's 1533-position model. The record is from RNAcentral.